RNAcentral lists this transfer RNA (64 nucleotides) under Torleya mikhaili. Its description in RNAcentral is "tRNA-Met". Lineage: Eukaryota; Metazoa; Arthropoda; Insecta; Ephemeroptera; Ephemerellidae. The record is from RNAcentral.
AGAAAAGUAAGCUAAGUUAAGCUAGCAGGUUCAUACCCUGCAUAUGGAGUUACUCCCUUUUCUA